CAGCAGCCGCGGUAAUACGUAGGUCCCGAGCGUUGUCCGGAUUUAUUGGGCGUAAAGGGAGCGCAGGCGGUUUAGUAAGUCUGAAGUUAAAGGCAUUGGCUCAACCAAUGUAUGCUUUGGAAACUGUUAGACUUGAGUGCAGAAGGGGAGAGUGGAAUUCCAUGUGUAGCGGUGAAAUGCGUAGAUAUAUGGAGGAACACCGGUGGCGGAAGCGGCUCUCUGGUCUGUCACUGACGCUGAGGCUCGAAAGCGUGGGUAGCGAACAGGAUUAGAUACCCGCGUAGUCCCUGUCUCUUAUACA
This 301-nucleotide ribosomal RNA is filed under the name uncultured bacterium. Its description in RNAcentral is "partial 16S ribosomal RNA". It matches the Rfam family "Bacterial small subunit ribosomal RNA", at positions 509 to 808 of the family's 1533-position model. The record is from RNAcentral.